CUACGGGACGCUGCAGCUGAGGAAAUUUUACAAUGCUCGAAAGAGUGAUAGAAUAAACCAGAGUGUUGUUUUUAAAACAACUUUUAUCUGAUGUAAAAAAUCAGAUGAAUAAGGACUGGGCAAGACCGGUGCCAGCCGCCGCGGUAAUACCGGCGGUCCAAGUUGCAUCCACAUUUAUUGGGUCUAAAACAUUCGUAGCUUGUUUUGUAAGUCUCUUGUGAAAUUUCAUGUCUUAAACCUGAAACGUGCAAGAGAUACUACAUUACUAGAGACCGGAAGACGCAAGGAGUACGAUUGAGGUAGCGGUAAAAUGUGUUAAUCUUAAUUGGACUAACAAUGGCGAAGGCACCUUGCGAGUACGGAUCUGACAGUGAGGAAUGAAGGCUAGAGGCGCAAAAGGGAUUAGAUACCCCAGUAGUC
RNAcentral lists this ribosomal RNA (420 nucleotides) under uncultured archaeon. RNAcentral describes it as "partial 16S ribosomal RNA". It matches the Rfam family "Archaeal small subunit ribosomal RNA", at positions 323 to 746 of the family's 1478-position model. The record is from RNAcentral.